ACCCAUCAGCUUCAUUUUCUAUCAGAUACAAACACUGGUAUGAAUGGUUAAAAAGGGAGGAAAAGUAAACUUUAAACUGACUUCAAUGCUUUUGUGACACACAAGCUCGUUUCCAACAAAC
RNAcentral lists this small nucleolar RNA (121 nucleotides) under Echinops telfairi (small Madagascar hedgehog). RNAcentral describes it as "Small nucleolar RNA SNORA61 (ENSETEG00000025050.1)". Lineage: Eukaryota; Metazoa; Chordata; Mammalia; Afrosoricida; Tenrecidae. The record is from RNAcentral.